Molecule: unclassified non-coding RNA, 361 nt
Filed under: Hevea brasiliensis (rubber tree)
Lineage: Eukaryota; Viridiplantae; Streptophyta; Magnoliopsida; Malpighiales; Euphorbiaceae
Source: RNAcentral
GAGAGGAACUGCAAGUUCACAUGAUCCAACAGGGAGGUGGAGCUUCUCUCUUAAAGUGUUCAAAUUAGGUUCAUAUAGCCAUGCAUUGCCUUCACGUACAACUAACUCUUUACAGGUGAACAGAUUGGGGGUUGGGAAAUGCUCAGUAACCAGAAGCACAUGUAUUGGAUGAUACCCUUUAUUACUGGCAGCCAGCCUUGCUGCUGCAAGCUGCAAGUGAAAACGAGCUACAUCUCUAUACCAGUCCUUAGACUUCUUGCAUGGAAGCUUUACAACUAUGAGAUCAACCCUUGGUUUACCCGGAAACUGAAUUUUGGGCAGAGAAGGACAAGUGGGGACCUCAAAUUCUUCUUCUUCAUCU